This 235-nucleotide long non-coding RNA is filed under the name Elaeis guineensis (African oil palm). RNAcentral's name for it is "long non-coding RNA (EGUI_LNC039886)". Lineage: Eukaryota; Viridiplantae; Streptophyta; Magnoliopsida; Arecales; Arecaceae. The record is from RNAcentral.
GUAUGGGAUUUCUGCACCUUUUUCUUUCCUCUCUUAGAGGAUCGACGUCCUGCAGAUGAACAUCCCAGUAAAUUUAUCAGCUCUUUCUGGAGCUGAUGGUUCUUCUCAAAAGUCUGCAGUAAUCCUAGCAAGUCAUGGUAGUUUAUUGUAAGCUUUGUUAUUCUGCAAUGACUGAGAAAUGGUAGGUAGAAUUUCGGUAGCGAGUUGAGAAUUGCAUCCUUGCCUAACUGUUCAU